AGUAUCCAGACUAUGUUGAUGCUUAUCUGAGAGUUGCUGCCAUUGCAAAAGCACGAAACAAUGUUCAAUUAAGCAUCGAACUGGAGAGGACAAUACAGAUUCAAUUCUAAAUACACUCCUUACAUGCUCGAUGAUGUAGUUCCUACUCCUGUCUUGGCUACAUAGUACCAUGACUCUUGAAACAUCUCCUCAAGAACAGCAACAUAUUGAUUCUGAUAAUUACUCUUUGGAUUGUGAUGGGAGCUUUCUGGAUGGGUUCUCUGAUGUUGACAGUUGGUCUGACAAUGAGGAAAUCACAAAUACCGUGUUUGAUGAGGAUAAUAAAUUGUCAUCCUUAAUGAGUAUGGGGUACACAAGAGAUGAGGCUUCAAUAGCAAUGGAGAGAUGUGGACCGUAUCUAUUUUUGAACUUUGCUCUGUACGUAGGGUCCAAGGAAACUGAUGAAAAGGCUACGAGGUUCUGAAGUUGGAUAUCUUGGACUGUUGGACGCCAGAAAAUCACUAUCGAUGGACUGAAUCUAAGUGUUAAACAUUUCUAGGUUUAGACCAUCGAUAAUGAUUUUCUGGAGUCCAACCGUCCAAGCUAUCAAACUUCAAAACCUCGUCAGCCUUUUCAUCAGUUUCGUUGGACCCUACCUCUGAGGUCCACGAAAAUGGAGGUGUAUCAUAAGAAGUCGGGUAGGUGUAUUCAAUCGAUAAGUGGACCAAAUGGGGACUGUAUGCCCGUCAACUACUCCAGCUCAGUACAUGGUCUUCUUCUUCGGGCUCUAUCUGGUUGCUUUGGGGACUGGUGGGAUCAAACCUUGUGUUGAUCAGUACUGCCUUGAUGAUUUAGGAGCUGGCAGAACCAUCGAUAAGAGAUGCAUUUUUUUCUUGCAUUCAACAAGGUGCAGAUCAUGUGAUUGUAAGCCCAUUUUUUCUCUUCCUUGGACGACACUGGCAUCAGGAUAUUCUUUCGUUAGCUGCUGAAGCUGCAAAAGAACACCCUGAUGUGUCAUAUAUUCUUUCUGCUGUUUAUGCCCAGAUGUGUACAAUGUUUGUGGAGCAAGGAAUGAUGAUGGACACAAGCAUUGGUUCUUUCACCAUUCCCGCAGCCUCUCUCUCAUCCUUUGAUGUCAUCAGUUUUAUUUUUUGGGUCCCCAUGUAUGAUAGGGUAAUUAUUCCAAUUGCAAGGAAAUUUUUUGCCAAGGAGCGAGAUUGUAUGACAAGGUUUAUAUUAUGAGAUUUGUAUUACUGGAAAGGUUUGCUCUGUAGAAAUUUGUAUUACAAGAUUUAUAUUAUGAGAUUGUAUGCUGGGCAUUUACAAA
Long non-coding RNA from Quercus lobata, 1306 nucleotides. RefSeq lists it as uncharacterized. Lineage: Eukaryota; Viridiplantae; Streptophyta; Magnoliopsida; Fagales; Fagaceae. The record is from RefSeq and is a predicted model, not a curated record. The transcript has 8 exons.